This 663-nucleotide ribosomal RNA is filed under the name uncultured bacterium. RNAcentral describes it as "bacterial SSU rRNA". It matches the Rfam family "Bacterial small subunit ribosomal RNA", at positions 232 to 885 of the family's 1533-position model. The record is from RNAcentral.
CGCGGCCUAUCAGCUUGUUGGUGAGGUAACGGCUCACCAAGGUGACGACGGGUAACUGGUCUGAGAGGACGACCAGUCGCGCUGGAACUGAGACACGGUCCAGACACCUACGGGUGGCAGCAGUCGAGAAUCAUUCACAAUGGGCGAAAGCCUGAUGGUGCAACGCCGCGUGGAGGAUGACGGUCCUAGGACUGUAAACUCCUGUCAUCAGGGAGUAAAGCACAGGCGUUAAUAGCGUCUUGUGCCUGAUAGUACCUGAAGAGGAAGGGGCGGCUAACUCCGUGCCAGCAGCCGCGGUAACACGGAGGCCCCGAGCGUUGUUCGGAUUUACUGGGCGUAAAGCGUGCGUAGGCGGUUGGGUAAGUCAGAUGUGAAAUCCCGGGGCUCAACCUCGGAACUGCAUCCGAUACUGCCCGACUAGAGGGUUGGAGAGGAGACUGGAAUUCACGGUGUAGCAGUGAAAUGCGUGGAUAUCGUGAGGAAGACCAAUGGCGAAGGCAGGUCUCUGGACAACUCCUGACGCUGAGGCACGAAGGCCAGGGUAGCGAAAAGGAUUAGAUACCCUUGUAGUCCUGGCAGUAAACGGUGCGCGCUUGGUGUGGGGGGAUUCGACCCCCUCCGUGCCGGAGCUAACGCGUUAAGCGCCCCGCCUGGGGAGUACGG